UGCCAGCCGCCGCGGUAAUACGGAGGGGGUUAGCGUUGUUCGGAAUUACUGGGCGUAAAGCGCACGUAGGCGGACUGGAAAGUUGGGGGUGAAAUCCCAGGGCUCAACCCUGGAACUGCCUCCAAAACUAUCAGUCUAGAGUUCGAGAGAGGUGAGUGGAACUUCUGGUGGAGCGGUGAAAUGCGUAGAUAUCAGAAGGAACACCGGUGGCGAAAGCGACUCACUGGCUCGUUUCUGACGCUGAGGUGCGAAAGCGUGGGUAGCAAACAGGAUUAGAUA
Molecule: ribosomal RNA, 279 nt
Filed under: uncultured bacterium
Lineage: Bacteria
Description: partial 16S ribosomal RNA
Rfam family: Bacterial small subunit ribosomal RNA
Source: RNAcentral